UACGUAGGGGGCAAGCGUUGUCCGGAAUCAUUGGGCGUAAAGAGCGUGUAGGCGGCCCGGUAAGUCCGCUGUGAAAGUCGAGGGCUCAACCCUCGAAUGCCGGCGGAUACUGUCGGGCUAGAGUCCGGAAGAGGCGAGUGGAAUUCCUGGUGUAGCGGUGAAAUGCGCAGAUAUCAGGAGGAACACCAAUUGCGAAGGCAGCUCGCUGGGACGUUACUGACGCUGAGACGCGAAAGCGUGGGGAGCAAACAGG
This 253-nucleotide ribosomal RNA is filed under the name uncultured bacterium. RNAcentral's name for it is "partial 16S ribosomal RNA". It matches the Rfam family "Bacterial small subunit ribosomal RNA", at positions 524 to 776 of the family's 1533-position model. The record is from RNAcentral.